CCUACGGGUGGCAGCAGUGGGGAAUAUUGGGCAAUGGGCGCAAGCCUGACCCAGCAACGCCGCGUGAAGGAAGAAGGCUUUCGGGUUGUAAACUUCUUUUAAGAGGGAAGAGCAGAAGACGGUACCUCUUGAAUAAGCCACGGCUAACUACGUGCCAGCAGCCGCGGUAAUACGGAGGUGGCAAGCGUUGUCCGGAUUUACUGGGUGUAAAGGGCGUGUAGCCGGGCUGACAAGUCAGAUGUGAAAUUCCGGGGCUCAACCCCGGACCUGCAUUUGAAACUGGUGGUCUUGAGUAUCGGAGAGGCGGGCGGAAUUCCUAGUGUAGCGGUGAAAUGCGUAGAUAUUAGGAAGAACACCAGUGGCGAAGGCGGCCUGCUGGACGGCAACUGACAGUGAGGCGCGAAAGCGUGGGGAGCAAACAGGAUUAGAUACCCGAGUAGUC
Molecule: ribosomal RNA, 442 nt
Filed under: uncultured bacterium
Lineage: Bacteria
Description: partial 16S ribosomal RNA
Rfam family: Bacterial small subunit ribosomal RNA
Source: RNAcentral